UACAGAGGUCCCAAGCGUUGUUCGGAUUCACUGGGCGUAAAGGGUGCGCAGGUGGGUUUGCAAGUUCGAUGUGAAAGCCCCGGGCUUAACCCGGGAAUGGCAUUGGAUACUGCAGAUCUGGAGGAUCGGAGGGGGGACUGGAAUUCUUGGUGUAGCAGUGAAAUGCGUAGAUAUCAGGAGGAACACCGGUGGCGAAGGCGGGUCUCUGGGCAGUGAACUGACGCUGAGGAGCGAAAGCGUGGGGAGCGAACAGG
This 254-nucleotide ribosomal RNA is filed under the name uncultured bacterium. Its description in RNAcentral is "partial 16S ribosomal RNA". It matches the Rfam family "Bacterial small subunit ribosomal RNA", at positions 524 to 776 of the family's 1533-position model. The record is from RNAcentral.